Molecule: unclassified non-coding RNA, 269 nt
Filed under: Glomus sp.
Lineage: Eukaryota; Fungi; Glomeromycota; Glomeromycetes; Glomerales; Glomeraceae
Description: partial contains 5.8S ribosomal RNA and internal transcribed spacer 2
Rfam family: 5.8S ribosomal RNA (bases 1-65)
Source: RNAcentral
GUGAAUCAUCAAAUUUUUGAACGCAAAUUGCACUCUCCUCUGAGAGUAUGGCUGUUUGAGUGUCAGCCUAUAAUAAAUCCACAUCGUUGCUGUUGCGCGGGGGCGUUCGGCGGCAAGUGGGUCAUAUUAAAUCCUUUUGAUUUAAGCGACUUAAAAUUUUCUGUUGUUUCCAUGAACGUUUCUGAGAUCUAUUGCUUUACACGUUUAAGGUAUCGAUUUUUACUAGACGUGACCAGCAUAGCGAAGCGCGUCCAUAAUCUUUCAUUAAC